RNAcentral lists this ribosomal RNA (94 nucleotides) under Omophoita sexnotata. The record is from RNAcentral. Lineage: Eukaryota; Metazoa; Arthropoda; Insecta; Coleoptera; Chrysomelidae.
GCCCGAUCUCGUCCGAUCUCAGAAGCCAAGCAAGACGGGCCUGGUCAGUACCUGGAUGGGAGACUGCCUGGGAAUCCCAGGUGAUAUAAGCCUU